ACGCUGGCGGCGUGCCUAAUACAUGCAAGUAGAACGCUGAGGUUUGGUGUUUACACUAGACUGAUGAGUUGCGAACGGGUGAGUAACGCGUAGGUAACCUGCCUCAUAGCGGGGGAUAACUAUUGGAAACGAUAGCUAAUACCGCAUAAGAGUAAUUAACACAUGUUGGUUAUUUAAAAGGAGCAAUUGCUUCACUGUGAGAUGGACCUGCGUUGUAUUAGCUAGUUGGUGAGGUAAAGGCUCACCAAGGCGACGAUACAUAGCCGACCUGAGAGGGUGAUCGGCCACACUGGGACUGAGACACGGCCCAGACUCCUACGGGAGGCAGCAGUAGGGAAUCUUCGGCAAUGGACGGAAAUCUGACCGAGCAACGCCGCGUGAGUGAAGAAGGUUUUCGGAUCGUAAAGCUCUGUUGUUAGAGAAGAACGUUGGUAGGAGUGGAAAAUCUACCAAGUGACGGUAACUAACCAGAAAGGGACGGCUAACUACGUGCCAGCAGCCGCGGUAAUACGUAGGUCCCGAGCGUUGUCCGGAUUUAUUGGGCGUAAAGCGAGCGCAGGCGGUUCUUUAAGUCUGAAGUUAAAGGCAGUGGCUUAACCAUUGUACGCUUUGGAAACUGGAGGACUUGAGUGCAGAAGGGGAGAGUGGAAUUCCAUGUGUAGCGGUGAAAUGCGUAGAUAUAUGGAGGAACACCGGUGGCGAAAGCGGCUCUCUGGUCUGUAACUGACGCUGAGGCUCGAAAGCGUG
RNAcentral lists this ribosomal RNA (747 nucleotides) under uncultured Streptococcus sp. RNAcentral describes it as "bacterial SSU rRNA". It matches the Rfam family "Bacterial small subunit ribosomal RNA", at positions 33 to 763 of the family's 1533-position model. The record is from RNAcentral. Lineage: Bacteria; Bacillati; Bacillota; Bacilli; Lactobacillales; Streptococcaceae.